Molecule: long non-coding RNA, 390 nt
Organism: Cryptomeria japonica (Japanese cedar)
Lineage: Eukaryota; Viridiplantae; Streptophyta; Pinopsida; Cupressales; Cupressaceae
Exons: 2
Source: RefSeq, a predicted model, not a curated record
UGCACUUUGGCUUCUUCUCAAUAUCCACUAACGUGCGCGGCUCUGCGAACUUAACACUUCGGCUUCUUUUCAAUAUCCACUAACGUGUGUGGCUCUGCGAAUUUGACACUGAAUCGCUUCACUUUUCGGUAUUCGAGAGGCGUACACUACAAUGGCAGCCAUUCCGUGUAAAGUUUUAUUUGUCCUCAGAUUAAAUCUAGGAAAUAAUUUUCAUCAGCAUCGUUGAAUGGGAAUAUUACCCUAAGUUCAUGCACAGUAAUGCCAUCUGUUAUUAACUCACUGUAAUAUUUUAACUUUAAAUGUAAAUUUGCCGAAAUAUCUGCAACAGUGAUGCCGAAUUAGUAUUUUUGCAACCGAUGAAGAUUGCAAUAAAAAACGGUUACUGCUUCA